AUAGAAAGUUACUUCGGUACAUCGGUGACAGGUGGUGCAUGGUUGUCGUCAGCUCGUGUCGUGAGAUGUUGGGUUAAGUCCCGCAACAGCGCAACCCCUAUUGUUAGUUGCCAUCAUUCAGUUGGGCACUCUAGCGAGACUGCCGGUAAUAAACCGGAGGAAGGUGGGGAUGACGUCAAAUCAUCAUGCCCCUUAUGACCUGGGCUACACACGUGCUACAAUGGUUGGUACAACGAGUUGCGAGUCGGUGACGGCGAGCUAAUCUCUUAAAGCCAAUCUCAGUUCGGAUUGUAGGCUGCAACUCGCCUACAUGAAGUCGGAAUCGCUAGUAAUCGCGGAUCAGCACGCCGCGGUGAAUACGUUCCCGGGCCUU
Molecule: ribosomal RNA, 373 nt
Filed under: uncultured Streptococcus sp.
Lineage: Bacteria; Bacillati; Bacillota; Bacilli; Lactobacillales; Streptococcaceae
Description: bacterial SSU rRNA
Rfam family: Bacterial small subunit ribosomal RNA
Source: RNAcentral